Molecule: ribosomal RNA, 252 nt
Filed under: uncultured bacterium
Lineage: Bacteria
Description: partial 16S ribosomal RNA
Rfam family: Bacterial small subunit ribosomal RNA
Source: RNAcentral
UACGUAGGGUGCGAGCGUUGCCCGGAUUUAUUGGGCGUAAAGGGCGCGCAGGCGGCACGGCACGUCCGUUGUGAAAGCUCCCGGCUCAACUGGGAGAGGUCAGCGGAUACGGCCGCGCUCGAGCCCGUAGGGGGUCGUGGAAUUCCCGGUGUAGUGGUGGAAUGCGUAGAUAUCGGGAGGAACACCAGUGGCGAAGGCGGCGACCUGGACCGGAGCUGACGCUGAGGCGCGAAAGCGUGGGGAGCGAUCCGG